RNAcentral lists this long non-coding RNA (229 nucleotides) under Ananas comosus (pineapple). RNAcentral describes it as "long non-coding RNA (ACOM_LNC034190)". The record is from RNAcentral. Lineage: Eukaryota; Viridiplantae; Streptophyta; Magnoliopsida; Poales; Bromeliaceae.
CAUGACGGCAUCGUGGAUUCGGCGUGAUUGACGGCGGUUCGUGGAUUCGGAUCGUGAGCUUCGUGGAUUCGGAGUGGAGGCGUUUCGUGGAUUCGAACGUGAGGGCGUGAACAACCCGGAGGAUUGCGCGAGAUUCAUAGAAGGUUAAGAGAGGUCGAGUCCGUGGAGUCGGUAAUCACCUUGUAAUCUUUUCUCUUAGUGAAUUAUUUUUUCGCCUGUUGGUCCCGUG